GCACAGAUAUGAAAAUCAAAUUUCUACUAGCUACAGAUACAUAACAGUAGUCUUUAAAAAUUAAACUAACUCCUAACGAUAAUUGCAGAGGGUAGGUCCCGAUGGCUACAGUAGCAAUCUUUGCUCCAUUGUCGAUUCAAAGAGUGAUCUCACCUUUCCUUAGCUCUCGCACUUCUUCAUGAUCCUGCAUAAAAGUGCACAAAUGAAAACUUGAACCAGAAUCUAGAACCUUCAGAAGGCGCAACCUUCUUCCUACUCUUGAUAGUCGCCAGG
This 273-nucleotide long non-coding RNA is filed under the name Elaeis guineensis (African oil palm). RNAcentral's name for it is "long non-coding RNA (EGUI_LNC067533)". The record is from RNAcentral. Lineage: Eukaryota; Viridiplantae; Streptophyta; Magnoliopsida; Arecales; Arecaceae.